UUACCAGGUCUUGACAUCCGAUGCUAUUCUAGAGAUAGUAAAGUUACUUCGGUACAUCGGUGACAGGUGGUGCAUGGUUGUCGUCAGCUCGUGUCGUGAGAUGUUGGGUUAAGUCCCGCAACGAGCGCAACCCCUAUUGUUAGUUGCCAUCAUUCAGUUGGGCACUCUAGCGAGACUGCCGGUAAUAAACCGGAGGAAGGUGGGAUGACGUCAAAUCAUCAUGCCCCUUAUGACCUGGGCUACACACGUGCUACAAUGGUUGGUACAACGAGUUGCGAGUCGGUGACGGCGAGCUAAUACUCUUAAAGCCAAUCUCAGUUCGGAUUGUAGGCUGCAACUCGCCUACAUGAAGUCGGAAUCGCUAGUAAUCGCGGAUCAGCACGCCGCGGUGAAUACGUUCCCGGGCCUU
RNAcentral lists this ribosomal RNA (409 nucleotides) under uncultured Streptococcus sp. RNAcentral describes it as "bacterial SSU rRNA". It matches the Rfam family "Bacterial small subunit ribosomal RNA", at positions 971 to 1382 of the family's 1533-position model. The record is from RNAcentral. Lineage: Bacteria; Bacillati; Bacillota; Bacilli; Lactobacillales; Streptococcaceae.